GAGUUUGAUCAUGGCUCAGAUUGAACGCUGGCGGCAGGCCUAACACAUGCAAGUCGAGCGGAUGACGGGAGCUUGCUCCUUGAUUCAGCGGCGGACGGGUGAGUAAUGCCUAGGAAUCUGCCUGGUAGUGGGGGACAACGUUUCGAAAGGAACGCUAAUACCGCAUACGUCCUACGGGAGAAAGCAGGGGACCUUCGGGCCUUGCGCUAUCAGAUGAGCCUAGGUCGGAUUAGCUAGUUGGUGGGGUAAUGGCUCACCAAGGCGACGAUCCGUAACUGGUCUGAGAGGAUGAUCAGUCACACUGGAACUGAGACACGGUCCAGACUCCUACGGGAGGCAGCAGUGGGGAAUAUUGGACAAUGGGCGAAAGCCUGAUCCAGCCAUGCCGCGUGUGUGAAGAAGGUCUUCGGAUUGUAAAGCACUUUAAGUCGGGAGGAAGGGCAGUAAGUUAAUACCUUGCUGUUUUGACGUUACCGACAGAAUAAGCACCGGCUAACUCUGUGCGAGCA
Molecule: ribosomal RNA, 509 nt
Filed under: bacterium enrichment culture clone ALO1_GLFRUDD03GQR5E
Lineage: Bacteria
Description: bacterial SSU rRNA
Rfam family: Bacterial small subunit ribosomal RNA
Source: RNAcentral